Long non-coding RNA from Choloepus didactylus (southern two-toed sloth), 341 nucleotides. RefSeq lists it as uncharacterized. Lineage: Eukaryota; Metazoa; Chordata; Mammalia; Pilosa; Megalonychidae. The record is from RefSeq and is a predicted model, not a curated record. The transcript is spliced from 3 exons.
CCCUUCCAAAGGGACACUAAAAAAGACGAUCCUAGGAUGAAUGCAGACUGACUCCAAUGUGCAACUGUGAAAAGAAAGGAAGAAGGAAGAAGGGAAGAAAAAAAAAGAAAUGAAUUGAGGACAGAUGUUUCCAAAUUUGCACAAACCCUGCCACUUGCGGACAAGCCUGGGCAAGCCCCCUGGAGGGUGAGAGACCAUGAGGAGGAGGAGAGAUGGGGCAUCCCCACCAGCAGCCAGCGGGCCCAGAGGGAGUGCUCCUUAAUCCAUGGCUGCCUGCAGAUGAGUGAGGGAACCCAGUCAAGACAGAAGAACCACCCAACAGAGCCAAGCUUAAAUUGCUG